CCUACGGGGGGCAGCAGUGGGGAAUAUUGCGCAAUGGGCGAAAGCCUGACGCAGCGACGCCGCGUGAGGGAUGAAGGUCUUCGGAUCGUAAACCUCUGUCAGCAGGGAAGAACGGUCACUGUGCUAAUCAGCAGUGAAUUGACGGUACCUGCAAAGGAAGCACCGGCUAACUCCGUGCCAGCAGCCGCGGUAAUACGGAGGGUGCGAGCGUUAAUCGGAAUUACUGGGCGUAAAGCGGUCGUAGGCGGUAUGUCAAGUCAAGGGUGAAAGCCCCGCGCUCAAGGUGGGAACGGCCUUUGAAACUGGCAAACUGGAGUGUGUGAGAGGAUAGUGGAAUUCCAGGUGUAGGAGUGAAAUCCGUAGAUAUCUGGAGGAACAUCAGUGGCGAAGGCGACUAUCUGGCACAUAACUGACGCUGAGGAGCGAAAGCGUGGGUAGCAAACAGGAUUAGAUACCCUUGUAGUC
This 465-nucleotide ribosomal RNA is filed under the name uncultured bacterium. RNAcentral's name for it is "partial 16S ribosomal RNA". It matches the Rfam family "Bacterial small subunit ribosomal RNA", at positions 338 to 795 of the family's 1533-position model. The record is from RNAcentral.